AAUCUAUUUUCAUGAAUUUACGAUAUCGCCUCGGCCCUCCAGGCGAAAACGAAGCCUAAACAUCCGUUUCUUUAAUAACUUCGCAACGGCUCGACGAAUCGCCGAACCGACUUCGCCAAUGCGUUCGUUUACCUAACAAUUUGGUUUAUGGAGGGUCAAAUGAGAUCAAACCCAUAUAUUUUACAAAACCCCAUUCGGAGCCCUAACAUGCAAUUAACCUCUAAAUAAUCCAAAUUAAAUAGAGCAAACAUGUUUAGAAUGCUCAUUAGAGGCUAUUAAAACACUUAAAACUAAGGAUUAAGCCAAAUCCU
Molecule: long non-coding RNA, 311 nt
Filed under: Ananas comosus (pineapple)
Lineage: Eukaryota; Viridiplantae; Streptophyta; Magnoliopsida; Poales; Bromeliaceae
Description: long non-coding RNA (ACOM_LNC030602)
Source: RNAcentral